Oxyura jamaicensis (ruddy duck) is the source of this 565-nucleotide long non-coding RNA. RefSeq lists it as uncharacterized. The record is from RefSeq and is a predicted model, not a curated record. NCBI's taxonomy places the organism in Eukaryota, Metazoa, Chordata, Aves, Anseriformes, Anatidae. The transcript has 3 exons.
AGUAAAUUGGUGGAACAAUGGAAUUGGUUCAGCCAUAGCCCAGUCCCACAGCAGAGCACUGGGACUGGUGUGGAGCCCUCUCCCUCCAGCCUCUGAGGUACAAUAGGGCUUUCCUUCCUCUCUGCUCUCUGAAGGCUGUGGUAUGGGGCUCCUAACAGUCAAGAAGCAAGGCUUCUCUGUUGCUGUCAGUGAAAGACAGGGUUUUGAAUAGCACAGACAAAAACUGUGAGAAAAGUAAUUCAGGAUGCUCAGUAACUAUUGACAGUGGGAUCGAGUGCACCUUCAGCAAGUUUACCCGUGACACCAAGCUCUGUGGUGUCGUCGGCACGCUGGAGGGAAGGGAUGCCAUCCAGAGGGACCUGGGUAGGCUUGAGAGGUGGGCCUGUGUGAAACUCAUGAGGUUCAACAGGGCCAAGUGCAAGGUCCUGCAGCUGGGCCAGGGCAAUCCCAAGCACAAAUACAGGCUGGGUGGAGAAUGGAUUGCGAGCAGCUCUGAGGAGAAGAACCUGGGGGUGUUGGUUGAUGAGGAGCUCAGCAUGAGCUGGCAAUAUGCACUUACAGACCA